RNAcentral lists this ribosomal RNA (253 nucleotides) under uncultured bacterium. RNAcentral's name for it is "partial 16S ribosomal RNA". It matches the Rfam family "Bacterial small subunit ribosomal RNA", at positions 524 to 776 of the family's 1533-position model. The record is from RNAcentral.
GACGGAGGGGGCUAGCGUUGUUCGGAAUUACUGGGCGUAAAGCGCGCGUAGGCGGCCUUUCAAGUCAGGUGUGAAAGCCCCGAGCUUAACUCGGGAACUGCACUUGAUACUGUUGGGCUUGAGACCGGGAGAGGAUAGCGGAAUUCCCAGUGUAGAGGUGAAAUUCGUAGAUAUUCGGAGGAACACCAGUGGCGAAGGCGGCUCACUGGCUCGAUACUGACGCUGAGGUGCGAAAGCGUGGGGAGCAAACAGG